This 292-nucleotide ribosomal RNA is filed under the name uncultured bacterium. RNAcentral describes it as "partial 16S ribosomal RNA". The record is from RNAcentral.
GGACUACCCGGGUAUCUAAUCCUGUUUGCUCCCCACGCUUUCGCACCUCAGCGUCAAUGCAUCACCAGUUGGCCGCCUUCGCCUCCGGUGUUCCUCCUGAUAUCUACGGAUUUCACUCCUACACCAGGAAUUCCACCAACCUCUCAAGCAUUCAAGAUCUGCAGUUUCAGGUGCAGUUCCCAGGUUAAGCCCGGGGAUUUCACAUCUGACUUGCAAACCCGCCUACGUGCGCUUUACGCCCAGUCAUUCCGAACAACGCUUGCACCCUCCGUAUUACCGCGGCUGCUGGCAC